GAAAUUGCAAGAUAGCAUAACCAAAGUAAAAUGGGCAGAUUACAUGAACUAUUCAGCGUAAAUCAGCCCUACCAAUAUUGUUAAAAACAAUACCGCUACGACCCUUAGAACACAGGAAGCUAAAACCAUCCAAACCUCCACAACAAUGUCGUCGACUACCCAAAAUAGGAUUGAUGCAGAAGCUGAGGAAAAAGAAUAGUGGCACCAAAGACAACGAAACACCUCCUUGCUGUCUACCACCAUCUUUGAGCAUAUCUUUCAAUCCUCCAUCGAACCACACACACCAAGCUCAACAGCAAAGUAAAAGCUAGCAACGAAAGUAGGCGUUGAAAACCAAGAUUCAAGGCAUUGCAGUCUCAGAUAGCCUUGGGUCAAUCUUAAGGCACUCUUGUCAACGAACUCCUUGACAUUCCUACUCUUCCCUUGAGAGCCUAUGCUCUUCGCAAGCUUACGUCCAAUUCUCAAGUUUAACAGUAACUCCUUGUCUGCCCAACCUGUAAAACCAACACUCAAAAUAUAUGUACACCCAACUCAGGUGAGGGAAAACAACCCCAAGUUGAAAUUUGAAUUUGAAAUUUCAUAAUUUUAGAUAAACUUCAAUAUUGAUAAAUUUUUUUCUCGGUUGAUAAAAAAACCCAAAGAGAAAAUGAAU
This 652-nucleotide unclassified non-coding RNA is filed under the name Hevea brasiliensis (rubber tree). Lineage: Eukaryota; Viridiplantae; Streptophyta; Magnoliopsida; Malpighiales; Euphorbiaceae. The record is from RNAcentral.